AGAAGAUUUGCCAUGGUUCAAGGC
This 24-nucleotide non-coding RNA is filed under the name Arabidopsis thaliana (thale cress). The record is from RNAcentral. Lineage: Eukaryota; Viridiplantae; Streptophyta; Magnoliopsida; Brassicales; Brassicaceae.